UGAGACAGCCUGUGUCCUUACUCCUUAGAGACCAAAGCAUACAGCACUCUUCUUAAAGACAAGGCGUUUGGAACUGUAGAUAUUGGAUUGGCCCCCACUUUUAACAGCCCAAAACCAUCUUGAAGUGUGGCUUCCAUGUAGUGCUUUCUUAUUUUCCUCUCUUUUCUAAAAUUUUUGUCCAAUUCUUAAGUGCUUUUCAGGCUCUCAUAAUAGCCCACCGUUUCUUUUCUGUCAGGGUUCGCUGUUUUCCACAUGCAGAUCAAGCCGUCUGGAUGACCCUUCUAGGUGCCUAAAUUGAAACAUGACCCGUUCACCCUUUUCCAUUGACUUUCCAAAGCAAUGAGGGUAUGGAAGGGACUGCAGAGAUUUUUGAGAGUGAUGUUUUCCAUCUUCCCGCGCUGCCAGUUGAGAGGACAAAAUUCGAAAGACAGUUACGUGGUAGGCUAUUCCUCGGAAGUCACUCAUGUCAGGCUUCUCGGAUACACAACUAUGCUGCGCGGCUGUCAGCGUUGUGGUCUCAUUCAACACUGGAGACUUUGGCGCCAUCCCUGCGGACACCACUUCUGCCGUGAGUGCAUGGAUCAGAUCAUAGAUGAUGGUUUCCGCGACAUCGAGGGGCUUGGCUCAAGUCCCUGUCCACAGUGUAAAUCAGUUAUAGCCUAUUAAAUGUGUAAUCGUGACUGUAUGUUAGUGCCUUUUUCUGACUUUGUGUAACCUUUUCUUUUUCUAUGCACUUUGUAGUCCCUGCAUGUCUCUAUUGCCCAGGCAAUUCAGCAGAACUAUGAUAUCAUCAAGACAAAGGACAAGCAAUACUACUUCAUCACUUAUCUAGUCAGUCAGAUCAGAUUUUUAUUGUCAUCUUUAAAACAUUCUAUUCUAUGCAUUAAUGAGUGUGUGUAGGAUGACAAGGUUACAAUCAAUGACAUGACUAUAUCUGAAUAUAACAAUCUAAAUUUAGCUGAUGCUAAACUCCAUCCAAUACAAACAACUAUUUAAGAAUAUUAACAACUCGGGCUCCUAGGCAAGGUUGGAGAGAAACUGAUUGCAUGUAAUCAUGUACAUGUAAUCUGAUUACAAAAAAAGUAGUUCCAGCUAAAAUUGUGUAAUCAGGUUACAGAUACUUUGAAAAACUAGAUGAUUACUCCUUGGAUUACUUGCUUGCGACAAAAUACAUUAACACUUUUCCUUUCCUCAAUGACAUUCAAUUCAGCCUUGAAAAAAUGGGCAAAUUUAGUUUGUUCCACCUGAGCGAGUCUGACCACAAAUUAGAGACCACUAUGAUGACACACCAA
Oncorhynchus mykiss (rainbow trout) is the source of this 1292-nucleotide non-coding RNA. Lineage: Eukaryota; Metazoa; Chordata; Actinopteri; Salmoniformes; Salmonidae. The record is from RefSeq and is a predicted model, not a curated record.